GAUGAACGCUAGCGGGAGGCCUAACACAUGCAAGCCGAGCGGUAUUGUUUCUUCGGAAAUGAGAGAGCGGCGUACGGGUGCGGAACACGUGUGCAACCUGCCUUUAUCUGGGGGAUAGCCUUUCGAAAGGAAGAUUAAUACUCCAUAAUAUAUUGAACGGCAUCGUUUAAUAUUGAAAGCUCCGGCGGAUAGAGAUGGGCACGCGCAAGAUUAGCUAGUUGGUGAGGUAACGGCUCACCAAGGCAAUGAUCUUUAGGGGGCCUGAGAGGGUGAUCCCCCACACUGGUACUGAGACACGGACCAGACUCCUACGGGAGGCAGCAGUGAGGAAUAUUGGUCAAUGGGUGCAAGCCUGAACCAGCCAUCCCGCGUGAAGGACGACGGCCCUAUGGGUUGUAAACUUCUUUUGUAUAGGGAUAAACCUUUCCACGUGUGGAAAGCUGAAGGUACUAUACGAAUAAGCACCGGCUAACUCCGUG
This 479-nucleotide ribosomal RNA is filed under the name uncultured bacterium. Its description in RNAcentral is "bacterial SSU rRNA". It matches the Rfam family "Bacterial small subunit ribosomal RNA", at positions 28 to 507 of the family's 1533-position model. The record is from RNAcentral.